GGUUAAGCGACUAAGCGUACACGGUGGAUGCCCUGGCAGUCAGAGGCGAUGAAGGACGUGCUAAUCUGCGAUAAGCGCCGGUAAGGUGAUAUGAACCGUUAUAACCGGCGAUUUCCGAAUGGGGAAACCCAGUGUGACUCGUCACACUAUCAUUAACUGAAUCCAUAGGUUAAUGAGGCGAACCGGGGGAACUGAAACAUCUAAGUACCCCGAGGAAAAGAAAUCAACCGAGAUUCCCCCAGUAGCGGCGAGCGAACGGGGAGGAGCCCAGAGUCUGAAUCAGCAUGUGUGUUAGUGGAAGCGUCUGGAAAGGCGCGCGAUACAGGGUGACAGCCCCGUACACAAAAGCGCAUAUGCUGUGAGCUCGAUGAGUAGGGCGGGACACGUGGUAUCCUGUCUGAAUAUGGGGGGACCAUCCUCCAAGGCUAAAUACUCCUGACUGACCGAUAGUGAACCAGUACCGUGAGGGAAAGGCGAAAAGAACCCCGGCGAGGGGAGUGAAAAAGAACCUGAAACCGUGUACGUACAAGCAGUGGGAGCACCCUUUGGGGUGUGACUGCGUACCUUUUGUAUAAUGGGUCAGCGACUUAUAUUCUGUAGCAAGGUUAACCGUAUAGGGGAGCCG
RNAcentral lists this ribosomal RNA (625 nucleotides) under Salmonella enterica. RNAcentral describes it as "partial 23S ribosomal RNA". It matches the Rfam family "Bacterial large subunit ribosomal RNA", at positions 1 to 668 of the family's 2925-position model. The record is from RNAcentral. Lineage: Bacteria; Pseudomonadati; Pseudomonadota; Gammaproteobacteria; Enterobacterales; Enterobacteriaceae.